AAAAAAAAAAAAAAAAAAAACUCUAGAUCUCUAAUAAGCAACAGAUUACUUGCAAAUUUGUUUACGACUUUGUUCUUCUUCUUUGACAUCUACGCUAACAUCUGUUCCCUCAGGUUGUCCCUCAACUUGCGAGGAAAAGGCGCUGGUUCCUCUGAAAAUAGGAUGAGAGGGUACCAUGCCAGACACGGAAAUUCGUCUAACUGCACUGCAGAGGCUAGUAUACUUUGUAACCACAUCCUUGUAUAGACUUAGCAAUCUCUCAACAUCUUUGACCGUCAAUUCGCCAGCCUCAGCUUCCAUAUAAGGAUAAUGUAAUGUGCCAUUCAUAUUUGUUUCUACAUCGUCCAUGCUUGUUGAAGUACCAGGACCUGUCUCUGCUCCUAAAUCUGUCAUUCCGUAUGAUGGUUCCACUUGUGAUUUGUUGUUGGCCAGCCUUGCUGAUUGCAUACUUUGUUCGAAUUCAAUUUCAUCCAUGGAAAGAGAUUUGGCAUUUAAGUCGAUGAUAAAGGAUUUGGCUGAGACAAGAUUUGUAAAAUAAUAAGCUGCUUCAGAGACCAGUUUUGCCUGCCUACGGUACAAUUGGAUGAAUUUGAGGUUGGAAUGCAACUGAGGAGGAUUGGCCUGCUCAAGAAACUAAUUAAUUUUUAAGAAGCAAGAAAACAUUAAAACCAACUUCUUCUUACACAAGGAAAUUCACACAAAGCUUCAAAAUAUUUGGAAAAUAUACACACAUAUACACAAAAUGGUAGCAAAAUAAUGCAGAUAUAAAAGAAACAAGCAUGGACAUAUCAUAUCCAUCACAAAAGCUGAGGCUUUCAUAGAACCAAAUCCAUAUUCGUCUUACAAAGAAAACUGGACCAUCAUGAAGAUUAAAGUAUUUUGGAAAAAAGAAGUAAAAAAAUGAAAAUGGAAAAAAAAAGGGAUAAAGGGGCAUGCUUAUAGAAUUUGCAAUAGUAGCCCAAAGAACACUGUUUUUAGAAAGAAAGAAAAAGCAUUAAGAAUUAAUCAUGACUUUAAUUAGAAGAGUAUGAUCACCUCAAGUACCCUUGGCCUUACAAAUCAAAAUUCAGUAUAUUAGUACCUAUGAGAAAAAGUCAUGCGACUAACUUUUGUCAUUCGAAACCCUUUUCAAAAUCAACCAUAAAACAGAACUGAUAAGUGCACGUUGUUGUAAAUGGCUCAGAAAGGUACAACAGUUUGGUAGUAAUGAACUUUACAAUGUCUGUUGAAGCAAGCGAAUUACAUAAUCAUGCUCAGGUUGACAAGUAACAUAUAAAUGAUAAUCAAAUAGAACUGUUUCAAUGGUUAUGCAAACAUGGUACAGAAACAAUAAUCCAGAAUAGGAAAAUGAUGAUAAGCAGAAUGGCUUAUUACCAAGGAGAGCUUGCCUUGAUUGUAACAUAAAUGAGAACAGGAAGAAAGUCAUCAGCCCCUCCCAGUGCAUGAUUUUCUGAAAUUGAUGCAUUGAGCAGCAAAUUAUUGAUGACUCUACAACAACUCAUUAUACAUAGAAGCUUCUCACGAGGAGCCUUGAAAGCAUUGAUCUUUUGCAAUUCUUUUUCUGCAAGCUAGGAAAAGGUGGAGUAUUAUGGCUAGUCUUUUGAGGGAAUAAGUAUUACCAUCAACUGAAAAAUCCCCUCCUCCCCCUCUAAGAAAGAAGAAGAAAGAGUGGCUCCAUAUUGAAGUAAAAUAUAAAAAAAAACGAAGAAAGAAAAAAAGGAAAAUCUAUACUAUGGCAUUGUAUUAAUAAACUUUUUAAAGUAGUAAUAAUAACAACAAAUCAUUCAACAUCUUAAGUGUCUUUUCGCAUAUAAUAUUUACCUUAAAUAGUUCUAAUCAUAAUCCAAUUCCAAACAACAAGCUAAAGAAUAAACUGAAAAAAGUUACUAUUAUUAAAUUAAUGAAAAGGCGAUGCAGAUUAGGUGGAACAAGUUUAAGCUCCAGUAAAAGCAAGGUUAAAAAAACUUAAGUAACUUUUAAUUAUGAUGAAGAUUUCACAAAGGUCUAGUUGGAAUAUUACUGAGUACUUGCUAGCACAGUCUUACAUGUUUUUAUAUUUCAGCAAAUUAGCUGCUGCUGGUUCAGUACUUUUCAGCUUUAAGACAGGUACUUUCAUAAUUUCCAUCUUUGUCGGAACAAGCUGGUUGGAUUUGGAUGUCUUUAGGAAUUAGGAUUUAUUUAUGCGUAUUUUAAGGAAAUUUUGGUUUUAUGUGGGAGUCAUAAUCAUUAUACAUCUUGACUAAUUUUUGGAAUCUAAUGUUUAAAGGUUUACGGAUUACUUUCAGUCUAUAAAUACCCAAGCUUGUAACCAUUUAUUAAUGAGACAUCAAAUAAUAUAAUUCUAAUUAUUAAUGAUUCUUAGAUUGUGAGGUGCAAUUCAACUCUAAGUGUGAUGCCUGUGAAAAUUGGGCAUGAUAAUAACAAAAGAUGGAAGUGUGAUAACAAGGCUAGACUAUGUUUGCAUUCAAACAUCCUUGAAUCCAGGAGGUCUAUAUGAUCUUGGAAUCCACCAGAGAAUAAAGAGAACUGAGCUUUUAUUUAAAUUUGGCUAUCCCCUCCAACAAGUAUGUAAGAUGCCCAUUUUAUGACGCACAUGGAACCUAGUUUAUUUACUGGCCAUCUUAUAAAGAAAAAGGGUCUUGUGGAUGUCUGUCACAGAGUGAAUCAAUUCUAAUUUACAGAGCUUUUCUGUAAAUGAUUAAAUUGAUACAAAUGUAGCUUUCUAAUAGUGAGGUUUUAAAUUUCCUGAUAAAUUUUUUUUUAAAAAAAAGGUUGAGGAAUCUGUUGUCAUUAAGCCAAUAAAUUAAAGAAAAUUCCCAGCAGUCAAAUAAGACCAACUGCAUACCAGCCAUGAAGCUUCAUUCUGAAGGAAUUUUGGAAUAUCCAAAUGCUCAGGUCUCAAGAAGGUUUGUAACAAUUGUAUCUUUUCAAAGAUUUCUCUAUCAAUCUUAACAUCCUCAGGAGAAGCGGUAAAUGUUCGGGAGAACAAUUUUGUCAUCACAUAUUUCUCUAAACCCUAAAACAUAUAAAUGAAAGAGAUGAAUAACAAGUGAAAUAAACAAUUGUCCAAUUAGACAAUUAAAAUGCUACAAACAAUUUGUUAUCAUAUCAUAUGGAAUUCAAGAUAAUGGAAAUAGAGAGGUAGGAUGGCAGGAAGAUUUUAAAUAAACAUAGAAGGCAUGGUAAUAAUAAAUAUAUAAACAUAUGCACGUUUAUAAGUUUGUGAGCACACACAAUUAAUACACAAAUCAAAUCAACUUCUAAUCUAAUCAUGGAAAAGUCAAACCAGCAUAAGCUAUCAUGACCUAAAUCGUGCAUUCCCUUAUUUUAUUGGAUAUCACUUCAACUAUCCUUGAAAAGACUAGCAACAUUUACACUAUGUUUGGAAUUGGAUGGAAGGUACAGAUGGACAGGGAAACAAAAGGGAAGGAAUAGACAUGAAGAGGUGUUAAUUUUCUCUUAUCUUAUGAGAUGUGAAAUAUGACUUCACUGUGUUCCUAUCCACUUGUCAGAAAAUAUUUAUUGUUUUGGAAGAAAUAUUUAUUCUGUAUUACUGUCCCUCUUCUCCCACUUCCUGCCACUGCACAUGGGAAGUAACAGUCACUAUUUUCUUCAGUUAUCUUCCUUUCAACUUUUUGUUUCCCUUGUAAGAAGUGAAAAUUAUGAUUUAGUUCAUUUAAUUAACAAACAUGAGACUAGAUAAUAUAUACUUUAAACUACAACAGUUCUCGAAGGAAUAUUUGCAAUUAUAUGCACACCUUCUCUUUUUAUACAAUUUACACUUUGUUUGGAAGAUAAAGAGGGAGCAAGGAAAAUAAGA
RNAcentral lists this unclassified non-coding RNA (3820 nucleotides) under Hevea brasiliensis (rubber tree). The record is from RNAcentral. Lineage: Eukaryota; Viridiplantae; Streptophyta; Magnoliopsida; Malpighiales; Euphorbiaceae.